Long non-coding RNA from Stylophora pistillata, 1331 nucleotides. Lineage: Eukaryota; Metazoa; Cnidaria; Anthozoa; Scleractinia; Pocilloporidae. The record is from RefSeq and is a predicted model, not a curated record.
UUUGCCCACGGCCGAAUGUUCUAGAUUAUUUCGAUAAUUGUAUUUAAGGGCUUGGGCUCCCACAGUAGUGGUAGAGAUUCUUGUCGGCAGAAAGUGACUGUUGAGAGGAGCUAAGAGAACUACGAUGGUUCCUCAAAAGUCGCCUGGAGCAAUUUGUGUGAAUGUUUCGAGAGAAGAUUUCAGGGGAGACAUUUUAAUGUUUACAGUGUGAAUAGAUGAUGGCAUUGGCUGUGUGUGCUCAAGAGGUGUGUUGCUCAAAUCGAAUUCUAGCCCGUCCCUGUUCGAUAACUUCAGUAUUUGUCAUUAUGAUUUUACCCUUCACAUCUGGAGACCAACGGAUUUGGCCGCAAACCGUGGGGAGAGGUGGAAGGGGAGGGUUCGAUAUCAAGUAGCACCACCUGCAACUUCAAAGUGGCUUAAUGACGAUGAUGUUGGCCUAUCUUAGCGCCUUAACCAAGAGCUUCACUCUCCUUCGUCGUCUGUUCUCUUGCUCUUAGUAACUUUGGAAAAGCAAGAAGGGCUGCUUAGUCUGUACGUCUGAAGCUCUCAAAACGUGCUCCCCGCACUUCGCUACCCUGUUCAAGUACAAAGAAGGACGUGAAUUGAGGUAUUUUACAAAAAGAAAAACUGAUAGUCGGUACCACAACGGAAAUCUGCAAACAAGCCAGAAGGCAAGAGGACACAUGAGCCUCUAAUCUCUUUUUCAGGGUAAAGAUCAGAACAAUUGGGGGUCUAAAGUGAUCCUCCACUGCUUUGUUUCUGCUUUACUUCGCUGUGUGAUUGGGCCGGAAAACCCGCGUCGUCCUCACGAUUAAUCAAACUCGAAACUAAAACCAAUGGAGACUUAGACACUUUUGUUUUCCAAAGCUUUAUCUUUAUCUAGUUUUUACUCUGUGUUCUCAUUAGCUCCUUGUAACAUUUUUCUUUCUUCUCAUUGGCUGUUGCGAUCACUUUGGUUUUCGGUUUUUUGGGGGCCACUGGCUGUUGCGAUCACUUUGGUUUUCGGUUUUUUGGGGGCCACUGGCUGUUGCGAUCACUUUGGUUUUCGGGUUUUUGGGGGCCGGGCUCCUCUGUCAAAUGCGCUGAUGCUGAUGCAGUCGAUAAUGAACGAACACAAGAGACGAAAGAAGCAGAUUUCCCUGGUGUCUGUAUCAUUAAGGAAACCGGAACGGGUCGAGGAAUGAUAUAUUUAUUAGCUGUUAUGGCCAAAGGCGCUUAUCGGGGGAGGGUGGUCAUUGGUUGGGGUGGGCGUUUAUUUAAGGGAGAGUGUUUCUCUUGCAAAUUCUUACUUUCGCAUAUUUUCCUCAGUAAAAUGAAGUCUUUACUUUCCA